CCUACGGGUGGCAGCAGUGGGGAAUAUUGCACACUGGGGGACACCCUGAUGCAGCGACGCCGCGUGAGUGACGAAGUAUUUCGGUAUUUAAAGCUCUAUCAGCAGGGGAGCUAAUGACGGUACCUGACUAAGAAGCCACGGCUAACUACGUGACAGCAGCCGCGGUAAUACGUAGGGGGCAAGCGUUAUCCGUAUUUACUGGGUGUAUAGGGUGCGUAGGUGGGAGUGCAAGGCAGAUGUGAAAGCCCGGGGUGCAACCCCGGUACUGCAUUUGAAACUGUCCAGCUGGAGUGCAGGAGAGGUAAGCGGAAUGCCUAGGGUAGCGGUGAAAUGCGUAGAUAUUAGGAGGAACACCAGUGGCGAAGGCGGCUUACUGGACUGUAACUGACACUGAGGCACGAAAGCGUGGGGAUCAAACAGGAUUAGAUACCCCAGUAGUC
This 440-nucleotide ribosomal RNA is filed under the name uncultured bacterium. RNAcentral's name for it is "partial 16S ribosomal RNA". It matches the Rfam family "Bacterial small subunit ribosomal RNA", at positions 338 to 795 of the family's 1533-position model. The record is from RNAcentral.